Molecule: long non-coding RNA, 422 nt
Filed under: Equus asinus (donkey)
Lineage: Eukaryota; Metazoa; Chordata; Mammalia; Perissodactyla; Equidae
Description: lncRNA (ENSEASG00005026130.1)
Source: RNAcentral
CAGAGGCCAAAGCAGGAAGUGGAAGCUGGAAUCACGUGGGUGUAACUAGCAGGAUCUUGAGCUACAGAAAAGAGGAUAUCAAGGAGAACAGUAAAUAGCAUUCAAGGACUUAACCUCCUCUUCUAGAUUGGUGGCGGUGAAGAGAUCCAAAGCAAACUUCCUAUGAUAUUUGGGGACAAUGAGAAACACAGGUGUAGUGCUCAUGAACCCUUUGAGUUUGCUGUCGUUCUUGCCAUUUCCAAAGGCUGUUGCUGCUGUGUGACAGAUCUGCUCUCCCUCUCCAUAUAGCACAAACCUGUGGUGAAGAGGAAGCCUAGAAUAUGGAAAGAUCAUGGCACUGGAGUUCUGGUUUGAGAAUGUCCCAGAUGUCGGAUCCAGGGAAAGUUUUUUACCUUCUCAACCCCUAAUCCUUCUUCUGUAAG